AAAGCCUUAGCUUAAUUAAAGUGUCUGAGUUGCAAUCAGGUGAUGCAGUUUAAAGUGCUGUAGGUUUU
Molecule: transfer RNA, 68 nt
Filed under: Lygodactylus aff. angolensis
Lineage: Eukaryota; Metazoa; Chordata; Lepidosauria; Squamata; Gekkonidae
Description: tRNA-Ala
Rfam family: tRNA
About the family: Transfer RNA (tRNA) molecules are approximately 80 nucleotides in length. Their secondary structure includes four short double-helical elements and three loops (D, anti-codon, and T loops).
Source: RNAcentral